GCAUAAUCACUUGCCCCCUAAUUAGGGGCUAGCAUGAAUGGACAAACGAGAUUAUAGCUGUCUCCUCUACACCCAUAAAAAUUAAUCUACAGGUGAAGAAGCCUGUAUCCAUAUAAAAGACAAGAAGACCCUGUCGAGCUUUAAUUAUUUUUAAAAUAUAGUAACCCUACUCAAUACUCCCUUUUAUAAAUAACUUUUGUUGGGGCGACAAUGGAAUAAAUAAAACCUCCACCAUACUCAAAACACCAAGUUUCUCAAAAGAUCCUCUACAGAUACCAGGCAUCAGCUACCGCAGGGAUAACAGACUAAUCUUCCUUAAGAGCCCAAAUCUACAGGAAGGCUUGG
This 345-nucleotide ribosomal RNA is filed under the name Palola environmental sample. RNAcentral's name for it is "partial 16S ribosomal RNA". It matches the Rfam family "Bacterial large subunit ribosomal RNA", at positions 1959 to 2521 of the family's 2925-position model. Lineage: Eukaryota; Metazoa; Annelida; Polychaeta; Eunicida; Eunicidae. The record is from RNAcentral.